GACGAACGCUGGCGGCGCGCCUAACACAUGCAAGUCGAACGAGCGAGAGGAAGCUUGCUUUCUCGAGCGAGUGGCGAACGGGUGAGUAACGCGUGAGGAACCUGCCUUAAAGAGGGGAACAACAGUUGGAAACGACUGCUAAUACCGCAUAAGCCCACGGGUCGGCAUCGACCAGAGGGAAAAGGAGCAAUCCGCUUUGAGAUGGCCUCGCGUCCGAUUAGCUGGUUGGUGAGGUAACGGCCCACCAAGGCGACGAUCGGUAGCCGGACUGAGAGGUUGAACGGCCACAUUGGGACUGAGACACGGCCCAGACUCCUACGGGAGGCAGCAGUGGGGAAUAUUGCACAAUGGGGGAAACCCUGAUGCAGCGACGCCGCGUGGAGGAAGAAGGUCUUCGGAUUGUAAACUCCUGUUGUUGAGGAAGAUAAUGACGGUACUCAACAAGGAAGUGACGGCUAACUACGUGCCAGCAGCCGCCGUAG
This 482-nucleotide ribosomal RNA is filed under the name uncultured bacterium. RNAcentral's name for it is "partial 16S ribosomal RNA". It matches the Rfam family "Bacterial small subunit ribosomal RNA", at positions 28 to 523 of the family's 1533-position model. The record is from RNAcentral.